RNAcentral lists this transfer RNA (73 nucleotides) under Diaphorina citri (Asian citrus psyllid). It matches the Rfam family "tRNA". Rfam says of the family: Transfer RNA (tRNA) molecules are approximately 80 nucleotides in length. Their secondary structure includes four short double-helical elements and three loops (D, anti-codon, and T loops). The record is from Rfam by way of RNAcentral. Lineage: Eukaryota; Metazoa; Arthropoda; Insecta; Hemiptera; Psyllidae.
GCCUAGUUAGCUUAGUUGGUAGUGCGUCUGCCUUGUAAGCGCUACGCCGUGGGUUCGAUUCCCGCCCGGGGCG